RNAcentral lists this ribosomal RNA (323 nucleotides) under uncultured bacterium. RNAcentral describes it as "bacterial SSU rRNA". It matches the Rfam family "Bacterial small subunit ribosomal RNA", at positions 28 to 334 of the family's 1533-position model. The record is from RNAcentral.
GACGAACGCUGGCGGCGUGCUUAACACAUGCAAGUCGAACGAGGAUCAAUUUGGAAAGCUUCGGCCGGAAGGAUUGAUUCGAGUGGCGGACGGGUGAGUAACGCGUGAACAAUCUGUCCCAGACAGGGGGAUAACACUUGGAAACAGGUGCUAAUACCGCAUAAGACCACGGAAUCGCAUGGUGCAGGGGUAAAAGGAGCAAUCCGGUUUGGGGUGAGUUCGCGUCCGAUUAGCCAGUUGGGGGGGUAACGGCCCACCAAAGCGACGAUCGGUAGCCGACCUGAGAGGGUGAUCGGCCACAUUGGAACUGAGAGACGGUCCAA